Molecule: long non-coding RNA, 1081 nt
Filed under: Helianthus annuus (common sunflower)
Lineage: Eukaryota; Viridiplantae; Streptophyta; Magnoliopsida; Asterales; Asteraceae
Source: RNAcentral
UUUCAAAACGAAUACACCGAAUAUUCGAAUUGAUAUCCUUCAAAUUUUACCGCAUAUCCUUAUAAGCCUUUGUGACUUCAACCUUCCUUAAUAGCAAUCGGAGUCUGAUCCCUACGUUUCACCGGAGAUUUACCGACGCACCACCGCAGCCAGUCGAGGCUAUAACCACAAUGUCGCACCACCACUUUCAUAGUCGCCAUCAUACCACGCAACAUCGGAGUUCCUGAGCAGUUACCUUUCACGAACUAGGUAGCCAUCGGAUUCAGGUGACGUGCUUCUUUCGUUACCAUCGACCCCACCAUCACUUCCGUCACUCGUGUUCUCUGAUUCACGAACAGCCGCGGCGACCCCCUUCUGGUUCGAUUAACUGCCGCCCUAACGAAAUUUCUGAUUAAUAGCCAUGAGUUCGACCUCCGCAUCCAUCAUUCAGGUUGCCUUAUAACAACUUCAAGUCAGACAUUAUAAUGUUUUGUCAAGUAAUAUGGGAUGAUCUGGGAUUUCAGUGAGGAGCGUUAGGAAGUCGCUGGUCAAGAUUCUUUAUUUCAGUAAUGUAAUAAAUGUAAUUAAGGGUUUUCUAUUUAAUGCUAUGGAUUAGCUUUUAGUUUUGAUAUCUGUAAGAGUGACACGUCAGCCCUAGCGGGGUUGGGGUGUUACAGUAAGCCUAUAAACUGGUUGUCUUGGCUCGUUUUUUAUGUGGAAAUGCUAUCUUAAGGGAUUAGUCCCACUCACAUUAUUCUUCUUGAAGUGAUUUGAGAAAGUGUAAGACUAAUAGUAAUUUUUCAAACUCAGGGUCGAAAAAGGAGAACGUUACAUAAAUCUAUGGCAAUAGGUACUUCAAGCAUCAAAAUCAGCCUUUCUGAACCCGAACAUACCGAAAUUGAAGCCAUGGAUGCGGUGAUUAAUCUUGCACUAAACCAAUGGUUCAUGUUUACAAUAGGUGCAUAACUACUAUUUGAUGUAAAACGUUGUUCAACAUUCAGACUUUAUUGUUUUGAACAAAUCUAAAGCCUUAUUUAUUGAAAUUUUGCUACAAUUCUAAUAUAACAAUACACAACAAAACAAAUUGGUCCAGAUUUACAAU